This 731-nucleotide long non-coding RNA is filed under the name Theobroma cacao (cacao). RNAcentral's name for it is "long non-coding RNA (TCAC_LNC005592)". The record is from RNAcentral. Lineage: Eukaryota; Viridiplantae; Streptophyta; Magnoliopsida; Malvales; Malvaceae.
CACCAAGCGCAACAUGUGGUGUGCUACAUCGGAUUCCUCUCCUUAUAACACCAAAACGACGCUGUUUAGCAUCCACUAACCUAGGUAUAAAAACUUUUUUUUCACCCUUUCUCUCCAUUUUUUCCUUUCAUUUUCUCUUUCUAGCCGCCGGUUCUCCUUCCUCUCUCUAAGGUGCAGCUCUUUUCUCCCUCUCUCUAAACCAAGCCUUCGCCCUUCUUUCUUCCUUCUUCUCUACCUUCCGCCGGUGUCCUCUCUGUCGCUGAUCUCUUUCCUUUCGCCGACCACCCAAGUGCCUUCCCUUUCCUGGCACUUUUCGAAUCUCUCUCCUCUCCCUCUCCUUCCUUUCGCCAGCCACCCGAAAGCUUUUCCUUUCCCGACAGCACUAAGACCCAAGCUUUGACACCUCCACCGGCGACACAAAGCCCCCAAAAUCUGUUUCCUAACCGGCGGCAGCAACCCCUAAAGCUUUCCUAUCCGGCAGCAGCUAAAACCCCCAAAAAUUAAAAUCUACCCCAAAAAAAUAACUAAAAAUCCCCCAAAAACACAGCUACUCUCUUUCUCUCAUUGUGUAUUUUUUUUAUUUUUUUUGUAUUAUUUUGGUUGUGAAUUUGUAUUGCGGCUAGGUAGAAUGGUUGUUGGUUCUUGCUAGGGAUUUUAGGUUUUUUGAUUGUUUGGUUCUCCGCUCCUGUAGCUACUACUUGUAGCACUUUAUACCUGAUCACAAUUUCGGG